Molecule: non-coding RNA, 66 nt
Organism: Cordylochernes scorpioides
Lineage: Eukaryota; Metazoa; Arthropoda; Arachnida; Pseudoscorpiones; Chernetidae
Source: the annotation of a GenBank genome assembly
GUCCAGGGAUGGGAAUCGAACCCACAGUAUUCCGGGCAGAUGUCAUGUCCACUAGACUACCCUGGA